CCCCCCUCGUCCGCUCGUCCUACACCCUCCUCGUCUAUCCCUCGUCCUCCUCCUUCCAGUGGCCUCCGGAUCAUUCCUCUCCCUGACUCCAUGCUCUCCGGCUUCAUGGCUCCUCGUUACGCUCACCAGGAUCGGAAGCGUCGCUCUUCACCUCAGCGCACUCAUCCUGCUAAAGUUACUAAACUUGCCUCCUCUUCUCCGCAGGUCCCUGAGCCAUCACCUGGACCUAAGGUGGAGCAGACGGAGGUCGAGCUGCAGGAGCGCGGGCUGGACAGGAGAGACGGGAAAAGAAAAAGGAGAAGAUCUGGGAGUCAAAGACCACCUCCCACCUAAGUUGGACGUAUCCUUUGUAUAUAACAUGUAAAUAGUGUGGCAAACUAAAGAAGUUCAAAUUUAAUAUUGUGUUCUUUUGUAAAUAGUGUGUGAUUGUGUGAAAGAAAAACAAAAAAACUAACAAAAAAAACUUUACAAUUUAGUGUGGUGUUAUUUUUCUGUUGUAAAUAGUGUGUUCUUGUGUGAAACAAAAACAAAACAAAAAACACAAAAAAAAGAGUUUAAGUUUAGUGUGGUGUUAUUAUUACCAUGUUGUAAAUAUUGAAAAUGCCCCUAAAACCAGGACUAAAUCAGGACUAAUCCAGGACUAAACCCCCCAACAUACAGAAAUGGUUAGGAAGUGUCUGCGGAGCUGAGGAGGGACUAUCAUGUGACCGAAGAGAGGCGCCAUCCACCAACCAGCAAGAAAUGUUCCCUGAUGUUCACCUUAUCCCAGGGCAACCGUCACCAGAGCAACACCUUCAAAAACCAAGACUAAACAAGAACUAAACCUCAGGAAGUGUCUGCGGAGCUCCUUCGCCCUCGAUCUGAACAUGAAAAGCUCAGACAUCGACCUCUUGUGCGCCGGACCAGGAUUUGUGCCCCGCCAAGUCUUCUUCACUUCUUUUGUGGAGAAAUUACAGGCCGAACAAGCAGUCCAAAUCCUUCAAGUUAUCGAGGAUGCUUUUGUUCCUGUCAUCAAGCUGGUUGUUGCUGGGAUUGAGGACUGGUUACAUCGAGGCACAGCUCAGACACUUGGUGGGCAUCUUGAAGAGGAACCCCAGCAUCCUCGAGGCCGGUCCCAGUCUCCAGACCUUUCCUGAAAAGAAUGGACUUAGCACAACGUGGGUCAUAGGCAUUAAACUCAGCCCCAACACCAAGAGUCUGAACCUGAACCCUGACGUCCUGACCUUCGUCUAGUCUGCGUACGCAAAGGCUCAACGUUUUUAGACCGAGGGCAUGCAGAUCGAGGCGGAGUAUGCCAAUGCCCAAACUUAUAAACUCGUCAUUCCCGGAUUAGGAGAGAGACAAGAGGAGUAUGAUGCGGUCGCGACGGAGAGACGAUCGGCCCCCAAGCGCCCCCACACCCCAGACUCUGAACCCGAGGCCAAGAGAGGAAAACAGAGCACAUCUCCGGUCGGACAAGCCAUUCAAACCUUUCAACCUAGACCCAGGAUUAUUAAGAAGGCCACCAAAGUCCACAGGAAAAUCUAAACCACCGUCUGGUUGGUGGUUUGGUCAGUGGCACUGGCUAAUUAUUGCAUUUAAAAAAAACAAAAACUCCCACCCGCCAUGAUUGUAUAUUAUACCCUAUAUCACAACAAUAAAACUCAAAAACAGUAU
This is a long non-coding RNA of Boleophthalmus pectinirostris (great blue-spotted mudskipper), 1656 nucleotides long. RefSeq lists it as uncharacterized. The record is from RefSeq and is a predicted model, not a curated record. The transcript is spliced from 10 exons. NCBI's taxonomy places the organism in Eukaryota, Metazoa, Chordata, Actinopteri, Gobiiformes, Gobiidae.